UGGCAUGUGCCUGUAGUCCUAGCUACUCAGGAGGCUGAUGUGGGAGAAUCACUUGAGCCUGGGAGGCAGAGGUUGCAGUGAGCCGAAAUUGCACCACUGCACUGCAGCCUGGGCAACAGAGCCAGACCUGUCUCAAAACAACAAACAAAAAAACAAACAACAAACAAAACAAAAAACCCACAAAGAAACACUACAAAAAAAACCUUGCAGAAUUUUGUGGCUAAAUUCUACCUUAAUCUAAAAAGAAAAGGAAAAAGAGAGCAGCCUUUGGGGUUUCCCAAAUCUGUUCAAAUCCUGUCUUUGUUUUUUUUUUUUUUUUUUUUUUUGACAGAUUCUCACUCUGUUGCCCAAGCUGGA
Molecule: long non-coding RNA, 357 nt
Filed under: Homo sapiens (human)
Lineage: Eukaryota; Metazoa; Chordata; Mammalia; Primates; Hominidae
Description: non-protein coding lnc-TMEM38A-1:1
Source: RNAcentral